GAACGAGAAAGUGGAGCAAUCCAUGAGUAAAGUGGCGACCGGGUGAGUAACACGUGACUAACCUACCUCCGAGUGGGGAAUAACUCCGGGAAACCGGGGCUAAUACCGCAUAACAUCGCGAGAUCAAAGCAGCAAUGCGCUUGAGGAGGGGGUCGCGCCUGAUUAGCUAGUUGGUGGGGUAACGGCCCACCAAGGCGAAGAUCGGUAGCCGGCCUGAGAGGGCGCACGGCCACACUGGAACUGAAACACGGUCCAGACUCCUACGGGAGGCAGCAGUGGGGAAUUUUGCGCAAUGGGGGAAACCCUGACGCAGCAACGCCGCGUGGAGGAUGAAGUCCCUUGGGACGUAAACUCCUUUCGACCCGGACGAUUAUGACGGUACGGGUGGAAGAAGCACCGGCUAACUCUGUG
Molecule: ribosomal RNA, 411 nt
Filed under: uncultured bacterium
Lineage: Bacteria
Description: bacterial SSU rRNA
Rfam family: Bacterial small subunit ribosomal RNA
Source: RNAcentral